RNAcentral lists this ribosomal RNA (392 nucleotides) under uncultured bacterium. RNAcentral's name for it is "partial 16S ribosomal RNA". It matches the Rfam family "Bacterial small subunit ribosomal RNA", at positions 523 to 918 of the family's 1533-position model. The record is from RNAcentral.
AUACGGAGGAUCCGAGCGUUAACCGGAUUUAUUGGGUUUAAAGGGUGCGCAGGCGGCCAUUUAAGUCAGCGGUUAAAUCGUGGGGCUCAACCCCAUUCUGCCGUUGAUACUGGGUGGCUUGAUUGCGGUCGAGGUUGGCGGAAUUCGUUGUGUAGCGGUGAAAUGCAUAGAUAUGACGAAGAACACCGAUUGCGUAGGCAGCUGACCAGACCGCAAAUGACGCUCAUGCACGAAAGUGCGGGGAUCGAACAGGAUUAGAUACCCUGGUAGUCCGCACAGUAAACGAUGAAUACUUGGUUUCGGCGAUAUAAUGUCGGAGGCAAAGCGAAAGCGAUAAGUAUUCCACCUGGGGAGUACGCCGGCAACGGUGAAACUCAAAGGAAUUGACGGGG